GACGAACGCUGGCGGCGUGCUUAACACAUGCAAGUCGAACGGAAAGGCCCUGCUUUUGUGGGGUGCUCGAGUGGCGAGCGGGUGAGUAACACGUGAGUAACCUGCCCUUGACUUUGGGAUAACUUCAGGAAACUGGGGCUAAUACCGGAUAGGAGCUCCUGCUGCAUGGUGGGGGUUGGAAAGUUUCGGCGGUUGGGGAUGGACUCGCGGCUUAUCAGCUUGUUGGUGGGGUAGUGGCUUACCAAGGCUUUGACGGGUAGCCGGCCUGAGAGGGUGACCGGCCACAUUGGGACUGAGAUACGGCCCAGACUCCUACGGGAGGCAGCAGUGGGGAAUAUUGCACAGUGGGCGGAAGCCUGAUGCAGCAACGCCGCGUGCGGGAUGACGGCCUUCGGGUUGUAAACCGCUUUCGCCUGUGACGAAGCGUGAGUGACGGUAAUGGGUAAAGAAGCACCGGCUAACUACGUG
This 468-nucleotide ribosomal RNA is filed under the name uncultured bacterium. RNAcentral describes it as "partial 16S ribosomal RNA". It matches the Rfam family "Bacterial small subunit ribosomal RNA", at positions 28 to 507 of the family's 1533-position model. The record is from RNAcentral.